AAAAGAAACCAACAGGGAUUGCCCCAGUAACGGCGAGUGAAGCGGCAACAGCUCAAAUUUGAAAUCUGGCCCCCAGGGUCCGAGUUGUAAUUUGCAGAGGAUGCUUUGGGCGAGGUGCCUUCCGAGUUCCCUGGAACGGGACGCCACAGAGGGUGAGAGCCCCGUCUGGUCGGACACCGAGCCUGUGUAAAGCUCCUUCGACGAGUCGAGUAGUUUGGGAAUGCUGCUCAAAAUGGGAGGUAUAUGUCUUCUAAAGCUAAAUAUUGGCCAGAGACCGAUAGCGCACAAGUAGAGUGAUCGAAAGAUGAAAAGCACUUUGAAAAGAGGGUUAAAAAGUACGUGAAAUUGUUGAAAGGGAAGCGCCUAUGACCAGACUUGGGCCCGGUGAAUCAUCCAGCGUUCUCGCUGGUGCACUUUGCCGGGCACAGGCCAGCAUCAGUUUGGCGCGGGGGACAAAGGCUUCGGGAAUGUGGCUCCCUCGGGAGUGUUAUAGCCCGCUGCGUAAUACCCUGCGCCGGACUGAGGUACGCGCAUCGCAAGGAUGCUGGCGUAAUGGUCAUCAGCGACCCGUCUUGAAACACGGACCAAGGAGUCGUCUUCGUAUGCGAGUGUUCGGGUGUCAAACCCCUACGCGUAAUGAAAGUGAACGCAGGUGAGAGCUUCGGCGCAUCAUCGACCGAUCCUGAUGUUCUCGGAUGGAUUUGAGUAAGAGCAUACGGGGCCGGACCCGAAAGAAGGUGAACUAUGCCUGUAUAGGGUGAAGCCAGAGGAAACUCUGGUGGAGGCUCGCAGCGGUUCUGACGUGCGAAUCGAUCGUCAAAUAUGGGCAUGGGGGCGAAAGACUAAUCGAACCUUCUAGUAGCUGGUUUC
RNAcentral lists this ribosomal RNA (870 nucleotides) under Cordyceps bullispora. RNAcentral's name for it is "partial large subunit ribosomal RNA". It matches the Rfam family "Eukaryotic large subunit ribosomal RNA", at positions 57 to 958 of the family's 3401-position model. The record is from RNAcentral. Lineage: Eukaryota; Fungi; Ascomycota; Sordariomycetes; Hypocreales; Cordycipitaceae.